Molecule: long non-coding RNA, 1203 nt
Filed under: Homo sapiens (human)
Lineage: Eukaryota; Metazoa; Chordata; Mammalia; Primates; Hominidae
Description: long non-coding RNA NONHSAT175632.1
Source: RNAcentral
CGCCCGUUGCCAGUUCUGCGCGUGCUACGGCCACGUGGCCCGCGGCUUCCCGCUCGCGCAGUCUGGCAGCCCGGAGCCUUCCGCGGUCCCCCGCCCGCCCGGGGCCCAACGACGCCCUACUGGGCGAGCACGAUUUCCGAGGACAGGGGGUCCGGGCCCAGCGCUUUCGAUUCUCGGAGGAGCCGGGUCCGGGGGCCGACGGGGCUGUCCUGGAGGUCCACGUCCCGCAGGUGCGUGCAGCAGCACCCGCCAGGAGGCGCCUGAGGUCAGGAGCGGAUGUCGGCUGACUUGGCUGGGUUCCUGAGGGACCGGGGGUGCGGACGCUCAGCUGCGCAGCUUCCUGCUUUAGGUUGACCCCCGGAGCAAAAACGUCGGAUAUGAAGCCCUUCGGUGCAUUAAAUGUCUCUCAGUCCUGCAUCUCCAGUAUGGAAUGUAUGUUUGGCCCUGUGCUGUGGUCCUGGCCCAGUACCUUUGGUUUCACAGAAGAUCUCUGCCAGGCAAGGCCAUCUUAGAGGUACAAAUAUUGGAGCUGGAGUGAGCCUUCCAGGAAUUUUGGCUGCCAAAUGUGGUGCAGAAGUAAUACUGUCAGACAGCUCAGAACUGCCUCACUGUCUGGAAGUCUGUCGGCAAAGCUGCCAAAUGAAUAACCUGCCACAUCUGCAGGUGGUAGGACUAACAUGGGGUCAUAUAUCUUGGGAUCUUCUGGCUCUACCACCACAAGAUAUUAUCCUUGCAUCUGAUGUGUUCUUUGAACCAGAAGAUUUUGAAGACAUUUUGGCUACAAUAUAUUUUUUGAUGCACAAGAAUCCCAAGGUCCAAUUGUGGUCUACUUAUCAAGUUAGGAGUGCUGACUGGUCACUUGAAGCUUUACUCUACAAAUGGGAUAUGAAAUGUGUCCACAUUCCUCUUGAGUCUUUUGAUGCAGACAAAGAAGAUAUAGCAGAAUCUACCCUUCCAGGAAGACAUACAGUUGAAAUGCUGGUCAUUUCCUUUGCAAAGGACAGUCUCUGAAUUAUACCUACAACCUGUUCUGGGACAGUAUCAAUACUGAUGAGCAACCUGGCACACAAACUAUGAGCAGACCACUUCAGCUUGAGAAUGCAGUGGGUCUGAAGAUGGUCAAGUCUGUUUGCCUUAGAUUUUGAUGUCACCUAGACAACACUUAAACUCAUAUGAAACAAAAAUUAAAAUACGUAUUACAAG